Molecule: long non-coding RNA, 818 nt
Organism: Magallana angulata
Lineage: Eukaryota; Metazoa; Mollusca; Bivalvia; Ostreida; Ostreidae
Exons: 4
Source: RefSeq, a predicted model, not a curated record
CUUCUUUAACAUUACAAACCUCACAACUACAUGGCCCUUUUCAAAAUCAGGAUUGCUAAUACCCGUGUGAUCAGUGCAUAAAAUCUUCUAAUGCCCUAAUAAUUAAUCAUAACGCGACUGGUCAUAAUUACACGAACCAAUUCUAAAAUAGAGCACGGUAAUUGAAUGAUGAUGUCAUGCGGAUAUUCAUAUUGAUAACGUUGAGAUUUUUUUCAUUUAUUGAAGUCUUGGAUAAUGUUGAUACAGUGUUCAUUAAGUGUGUUUUCAAAUUAGUGACUUUGACCGGAUGCUGAUAAACAAGAGUAUUGUCUUAAUUUUUUUUUAUUUCUACGUAUAUAUAUACAGGGCUUUUCCUACAGUUAAUGUUACACGUUGAAUCAUCCCUUUACUGAACGCAGCAUAUAGCAUAUAGUCUUUCAACACUGUAGAUAUUGCUAAUCAAUCGCUAAAAUGCAUUGUUUGACUACAGUUCUAAUAGCGUCGAUCUUGAGUGGCAUGUUUAUCGACAUUACUUAUGGAAGGUACCUGGGUGAUCAAGGGUACAUGAUACAACGUCGUAAUGCUGACAGUAUAAAGCAUCAUUAUGAUGUCCGACGAGAAUGGGACAAUAUGUUUGGAUGUACGGAGAUAGCGUGUGAUCUAGUUAACAUUGAAGAAAGUGGUAGGAAAAAAAGAUCAAUUACACAUCCAACCUCAAACCUAAACAUCGCCACGCUGUUGGUUCCGAAGGAAAAGUAGAAGGAUACUGAUCCCAAGCUGCAGUUGCAGAUGAUCAAAAAUAUAUGUAAGGAGUUAAUAAUAAAACUCUAACACACGAA